AGAAUGUGACUGUGGAAAGUUUGGAUCGUGUUACUUCGCCGGAAACGAUAAAAAAUGCAACUGCAGCGAUGGAUACGUAGCGAAGGAUGGUAUAUGCGUGGAAUGUGACUGUGGAGAUCAUGGGACUUGUUCUUUUGACGAAAAUGGGAAGAAAGUCUGCCAUUGUGAUGCUUCGUAUUCUCUAAGCGAAGGAAGGUGUCAAAAGGUGUGCAGAGACGACUGCAUGAAUGGCGGUACGUGUCAAAGU
Molecule: long non-coding RNA, 247 nt
Organism: Uloborus diversus
Lineage: Eukaryota; Metazoa; Arthropoda; Arachnida; Araneae; Uloboridae
Exons: 3
Source: RefSeq, a predicted model, not a curated record